CCUGACCGGUAGAACCGUGGAAGGUGUACUGGAUGACUGAACACAUUCGUUCUCGCUUUGCAAGUUCUCAAUUGCAUUAGGAGGCAGCUUUUUAGAUUGAUCAUCGUCGAAUUCCACAACAGCCAAAGCUAUUUCUCAGUCGGCAAAAUUAACUAUUUGUCAAUAGGAGGUGAAAUGGCAUACAAAAUGCAAUGCCAGCUACUUUGUCAGUGACGGAUUUUCGCUAGUGAGAGUGAUUCCCGCAGAUCAGAGAGAACCCCGCCUCGGCGCCUCCCAACGACCUCGCCACCAGGGAUUCAGAGCGAUACCUCGCGAACCGCAUUGCUGUGCUCAACCAGUCUUCUUUGUCAGUGUCCUGACGUGACACAUCUGGUCACUGACACAGACGCGGCGGCGGCGGCGGUGUAGAGCCGAGAGCGUCGCGGUGGUCCGCAACGUGGGGACGCUGAGGCGGCGUUCGGCGUCGUGGAGGUGGUUGUCGUCGACGUCGGCCGCCGCGACGUCAGCGCCUCCGGCAGCCACGGCACCACCUCGCGCCUCCGCCACUUCGCCUCCCUACCCCUAGCCCGCGCCUACCUCAAGGCAAGCUAUCCCGCCAUUGCUCACCAGACCCCUAAACCCUAGUCCCCUGCCCUCCAUUUGUUUGUGCAGGACGGGAGAGGGUGUGACAUCUGCGGCAUGGAGAUCAUCGACGAUGCGUAGCCGGUUUCCGACAAUGAGUCUGGGCUGACACAAACAUGCAGUACAACAGCACUUAGUCAGAAUGUCUUCCGUGGAAAGUGAAGUUGAACCCAUGCAUAAGGGGAAAACAACUGGAGAUGAAAAUGAGAUGACGUGAAAUUUGUAUAUAUCUUGGAAGUUAUUUUUGGACAGCUUAUAAUAAUUGAGCAUUCAGGAACCACGAAGAUUGCACAUGCAUAAUAAAAGCUUACGAACAAGUAGGUAAACCUGACAAUGCUCUAUUCUUAUUCCAUUGAUGUGGUGAUACAGAUAUUUGCACAAAGCCCAUCUGAAUGCCAGGAUAACAUUCAAAAGGGCCACCUCAAUGGUAAUGAUGUUGUUAGAAGUGCUCUGCAUUGGAAAAAUAAAUAAAGGACAUCAAGUUAUACCCAUUUAAACCCUAAGGCCUUGUUCGUUUUGUGCCAAUCCAUAGGGAUUGAGGGGGAUUAAAUCCCCUACAAGUCAAAAUCCUCCCCAAUCCCUUUCAAUCCCCCUCAAUCCUUAUGGUUUUGGGAUCAAACGAACAUGGCCUAAGGGAUUUCUUCAAUGUACUCCUUGAUUCUGUGUAGCUGAGCAGCAGCAUGUUCCAUGUUCAUUCUUUCUGACGGGUUGUCCUUUGAACAUGAGACACCAACUCGUAUCACAGAAGCUAAGCAACUGAGCAUCUCAGGAUCAUGGUCAUACAGCUCCGCAUUGAAAAGUUCUGGGUCAAUGAUUUCUGAUACCCUGUCAGGUAACCCUGCCUCAGCAAACAAGUGCAGGGUCAAGCCUUCUAUGAACAUGUCAUCAGUUGGUGCUUUCCCGGUGAACAUCUCAAGCAGAGUGACCCCAAAGCUGUAGGCAUCACCAGCAACUGAUGCUUGACCACCUGCUCCAUAUUCUGCAGGAAUGGAAAUAUUAUGACAAGUUGACAAUGCCAUAAACAGAUGAUACAGUAAGGGCACCAAAUCAAGGCAGUUUAUUAAUUGACUAGAAAAAAAAUGUGGUUUCUGAAUGGUGGACGUACCUGGAGGGACGUAUCCAGUGGUUCCUCGUAUCCCAAUAGUGCUUUCAGUCCCAAUAUUCAAAUUUGGUUGGUCCAUGGAUUCACUGAUCAGCUUUGCAAGCCCAAAGUCAGCAACAUAAGCAGUCCAGUCGCUACCAAGGAGGAUGUUGCUAGGCUUCAAAUCACAGUGGAUCACUGUUGGACGGCUACUGUUGUGAAGAUAGUCUAGCGCAUCUGCUACAUCAGUCGCAAUGUCCAACAGUUGGGUUAGACUCAACUUGUGUGUCUCCUCAUCGCUUCUUGGAUGCAGCCACCUGUCCAAGCUGUACCUGGGCAUGAAGUCGAACACUAGAGCUUGGAAGUCAUUCCCUCUAGGGUCUAUACUGGAGCAACAGGUGAUAAUAUUGAUCAAGUUCCUAUGUUUCACUUGCCGUAGCGCCUCACAUUCAGCCAAAAAGCUUCUGGAAGAACCAGGAUGCUGAAGAGUGAACACUUUGACAGCCACUACAGAAUCCCCAACACCUGUGAUAGACAGUCUUCCUUUGUAAACAGAUCCAUAUUUUCCAGCUCCUAUCAGAUUAGCAGGGGCAAAACCAUCCGUCGCUUCAAAGAGCUGGAGAAGGAGCGCAACCAAUAGAAGAGAUAAACAUAUAGCGAUGCCAAUGGCUGGAAGAAAAAUCUUCAGUCGCAACCGCUUCCGGUGGCUGUGUGGCUUGACCUCACACGGAGGCAAUUUCAGCUCUGCAACGCCACCACAAAGCCCAUCAUUUCCAGUUGCAGAAAACCCACUCAUGUUAGCGAACACCCCGUGUGUGGGCACCUCGCUGCCCAGAUGGUUGUAGGAGAGAUCCAGCUCUACAAGAGCGCUCGAGUUCUGGAGGAGCUGUGGAAUGGCUCCAGACAGGUUGUUGUGAGCUAGGCAAAGCCUUUGCAGCCCAUGAAUCUGGCUCAACUCCUGAGGGAUGCUACCGGACAGACCGUUCCUUGUGAAAUUCAGCGUGCUCAAGCCCUUCAGAUUACCAAUCGAUGGAGGGAUGCUCCCAGUGAAGCUAUUGCCAUCCAGAUACAAGUAUACUAGACUUGCACAGUCUCCAAGCGCUCCUGGUACUUCUCCAGAUAAGUUGUUUGUUGACAGAUCCAAUGUUGUCGCAUGCUUGAGGCUACCGAUUUGUGGAGGAAGUACGCCAGAAAGGUAGUUAUGAGAAAGCAGCAAUGAAUCAGCUAGCGACGGGAGGCUGAAUAAUGCUCCGGGGAUCGCACCGGUGAGCCUGUUGAAGGACAAUGCCAUGGACGUUAACCUGCGCAAGCUCCCAAGGUUCUCAGGGAUGGAGCCAUUGAGCCUAUUGUUCGACAGGAAAAGGCUGAGCAGCUGCGUGAGGUUGCCGAAGGAGGUAGGUAUACCUCCUGACAGGAGAUUCUCCUCCAGCGUGAAAAACUUGAGGUUCCGAAGCCUUCCAAUAUCCUCAGGUAUAACACCACGCAGGUUGUUUCCCCCGAAUUCCAGGUCUUCAAGGUGAACGAGGCUUCCGACACCCAGAGGGAUUGAUCCAGACAUCCGGUUCUUCUCCAUGAUCAGAGUAUUCACCGGCCCAGAGAAGUUAGCUACGAAGCGUGGAAGCACUCCUCCAAGGGCGUUGCCACCGACAUCUAGAACCGCUAGACGGGUGCAGUUGGUGAAAUGUCUAAGGAACUCCCAGUCCGCAUCGUCCUCAGCUUGCAGCUUGUUACCCCCCAAUUGAACGCUCUCUGGGCAGAGCUUCCCUAUCUCAGGCGGCACCUUUCCUUCGAAGCUGUUGUGAGCAAGACCAAGCUCUUGUAGUUUAGUGGCAUUGGAGAGGGAAGCCGGGAGUGUUCCAGAAAAGUUGUUCCCGAUGCCACCAAGAAGGAGCACUUGGAGGUCCGGCAGGUGCCUGCCUGCGUCUGGUGGCAGUCUACCAUGCAGCCUGUUUGAGCUGAAACCGAAGUACUGGAGAGAGGAUAUGUUGAAGAAGCGAGGCGGAAUCGUGCCGGAGAGGCUGUUCCUCGCCGCCUGGAUGUACCGGAGAUACCUCAGACGGGAAAGGCCCUCUGGGAUGGCUCCUUCCAGCUUGUUCUGAUACAGUGCCAGCCUCUGCAGCGCCGAGAGAUUGCCGAGCGAUGGCGGUACAUGCCCUGUCAGACUGUUCUCGCCGACAUACAGGACUUGUAGCCGAGACAGCAAGCCCAGACCGCUAGGGAUCCCGCCAUGAAGCUGAUUGACCUCUACGCUCAGGUACGCGAGGUUGGAGCAGUUGGCCAAGCCUUCAGGGAUCUCGCCAGCAAGAUAGUUGUACGCCAGCUCAAGGAAGCUCAGGCGACGCAGCCGUGUCAUAGUGCGCGGUAUCUCCCCUGACAGCAUGUUGUCGAAGAGAUCGAGCGACCUGAGGAAGGUGAGGUUGCCGAUGGCAGGGGAGAUGCUGCCUCCCAGGUUUCUCUGGCGCAGGCUCAGAGCAACCACCCUGCCCGCGUGCCGGCGGCUGCAUGUCACGCCGGCCCAACGGCACACGUCGGAGCUGCUGCUGUUCCAUGAGCUUAGUAGUCCCGAGCUGCCUAUCAGAGCCUCUUUGAGUGCCAGCAGUGCUUCACGGUCAUGGUGUUUUUCGUACCUGUCGAUGGAGGAGGAGGAAGACGCCGGCCGAGCUGUGAGUAGAAGCAGCGGCAGCAGCAGCAGGGUCACCAUGGAAUGCAGAGUCGCCAUGGUUUCUUUCUAGUACAAGGUGUAAGGUUUUAUUUUGAAUUCUACGGGUUUGGGGGUGGUUGGGUAGGGGGAGAACGUUUUGGUACGUUCUUCUCCUCUAACGUAAACCAAUAAAGCAAAAGCACUGUUGAAUCUAUCCUUUGGUCUUGUUUUCUUUGCAAGCACAGUUGAAUCUA
Molecule: long non-coding RNA, 4597 nt
Organism: Zea mays
Lineage: Eukaryota; Viridiplantae; Streptophyta; Magnoliopsida; Poales; Poaceae
Exons: 3
Source: RefSeq, a predicted model, not a curated record